CUUUGAACUUGAUGAAGAAGCUUUGGAGCAGAUAUUGCUACAGGAGCACAUACGAGAUCUUAACAUAGUAGUGGUAUCUGUGGCAGGAGCUUUUCGUAAAGGGAAGUCAUUUCUACUGGACUUCAUGCUUAGAUACAUGUAUAACAAGGAUUCUCAAAGUUGGAUUGGUGGAAACAAUGAACCAUUGACAGGCUUUACAUGGCGAGGUGGCUGUGAAAGAGAAACAACAGGCAUACAAGUUUGGAAUGAAGUAUUUGUGAUUGACAGACCUAAUGGAACUAAAGUUGCUGUGCUGCUUAUGGAUACCCAGGGUGCCUUUGAUAGCCAGUCAACUAUCAAAGACUGUGCAACGGUGUUUGCUCUGAGCACUAUGACUAGCUCUGUCCAGGUGAGACACAAGAUUAAGUGGUGCGAUCAGUUCACGUAAUCAUUUGGCCCCUUUUUUUUUUCUUUUUUGAGACAGAGUUUCACUCUUGUUGCCCAGGCUGGAGUACAGUGGCGUGAUCUCGGCUCACUGCAACCUCUGCCUCCUGGGUUCAUUCUCCUAACCCGAGUAGCUGAGAUUACAGGCCCCCGCCACCAUGCCCAGCUAAUUUU
RNAcentral lists this long non-coding RNA (597 nucleotides) under Homo sapiens (human). RNAcentral's name for it is "non-protein coding lnc-HNRNPLL-8:2". The record is from RNAcentral. Lineage: Eukaryota; Metazoa; Chordata; Mammalia; Primates; Hominidae.